Daphnia pulicaria is the source of this 1889-nucleotide long non-coding RNA. RefSeq lists it as uncharacterized. The record is from RefSeq and is a predicted model, not a curated record. The transcript has 2 exons. Lineage: Eukaryota; Metazoa; Arthropoda; Branchiopoda; Diplostraca; Daphniidae.
AUUUACCUCGAGGAUGGAGAAUUGUUGGACCUGCUAAGUCGUUGCAUUUCCUAGUUCUGUUUUUCCCCCAAAAAUGUCAAACUUUUGUAAAUAAGGUACACGAAUAGCAGAUCUCUUUUUUGGAAAUUCAGUUGGGUCGAACAUAACGUCGAAACAGUCGGAUACAAAUUUGAAUGUACUUCUGUGGUGAGCAAUUGAGCAUUUUUCAGCGUUUUCCUCUAUUUCCAUUGUUGGGUAAAUACUCGUUAACUGAUGAUUCCCUGUGGGUUACGUGAAACGAGUAGAAGAUAAGUUGCUAUUAGCAAUUUAUUGAAUUUUGGUUUCGCGUGUGACCUUUUUUGCAGUAAUUUAUUCCCCUACCCUUUCAGGUAGAGUAGAGAGCCAACACUAUAUAGGGUUAACUAACCCAAAUACGGAGAAGGGAGGGGGGACUUUUAGGGGGAAAACCGUGCAUCUGUAACCACGUACCAGUCGUACCCGGUCGUACCAGGUACGCCAAGCUCCUUCAAGGUCCCAGUCGCCCAUAACCUAAUUAUCCUUUGUACACAGGAAAAAAUGCAUAUCCUUACCUAAUACCAAUACAGUUUGCUGUGUAUUAUCUAACACUAGUGCUUAAUCAUAUUCCGCAAUCUGAAUAUUAUGGAUGGGCUACUAUAUCUUGCAAUUAUAUAUUCUUGCUGCCUUUUGGAUGGAUUCGGAGAUUUUACAGAUCAGUACUAUUUUAUUAAGGAAAUGGACCUUACUGCCAAAUGUAUAACCAAAAACUAAAAAUAUUUAAUUAACCGCAUUUACAAUACAGAAUUUAAUAUUUGGAAUAUCGGGUCGAAAAACUAGGCUAUGUAUAGUUGUAUACACUAUGUAGGCCUACCUGCCUUUCCGUCCCGUGUAGGCUACUUUUGCAACAAAGUAUAUCGGGGUAAACUGCACGGCUAACUAUCCAUUUGAGUUUGGCAAAGGUCGUUGAAGAAAGUGUGAAUGGUUACGUCGCGUCCUUGUCGUACCUGGUACCACCCCGUCAUAGUUUGUGAUACUCCUUAUGCGGCAGCCUCUAUCGUGCGCAUCGACGAACCGUGAACACGUAUAGGUAGAUAUUGGUUGAGGCCACAACUUGAACCUUUUUAACCGCAUCGUUUGUCUGACUUCCCUAUAACGUGAUGGUCAUGCUAUAGUGUUCUCCUUUCCCUUGCAUACUAUGGAUGACUACUAUGCAUACGAUUGCGUUAUCUCGGGUGAAUAUAAAGAGCGAAAGUUUUUGAGCAAAAAUCAGUUCGUCUUCGGCGCAACAACCAGCAACAACAAGAUCAUUCGAUCUUUUACCCACUCGCACUAAAAUUCAAGCUGAUAAAAUGAUCAUGAAGGUGGCAUUGGCUUUCCUACUGUGUUUGGUUUCUUUGACGAUUGUCAAAGGUGCUCCUUCACCAACUGACCAGGAAGUUCUUGACGCUGCUGUUAUAGAAAAUCAACCUGGUGAGGUAGCGGUAGUUGCGCCGAUUGAAUCUGCUGAAUACGCUCAGCAGCCCUUUGAAGAAAAUGAGUCCUUGGAACCUUCAGCCACUCACCAUAAACGUUACUACUACCCUCAUUACUACCCUCAUUAUUACCCUCAUUAUUACCCUAGAUAUCACUACCCCGGAUACUAUUACUAGAGGACUCUUUACUGGCCGAUCAGUAUUGCUUCAGCAGUAAAACAUCAACUAAUUCUACGACACCAUUUCUUCCAUCAGUCGAUUAUAUACAAUCAAUCAGCAAUACUCGCCAUGUAGUCCUUCUCCACCACUGACGACGAAACAAACGUGUUAAACUCUAAAUCCUUUCCCCUUUUUUACUCUUUGUAGUCGCAAUAUUGUAAUGCGCGACUUUUGGAAAAAUAAAAUCUUUUCAAGCAUUGA